AGUGAACGCUGGCGGUGGGCCUAACACAUGCAAGUCGAAUGGCAGCACAGUAAGAGCUUGCUCUUACGGGUGGCGAGUGGCGGACGGGUGAGGAAUACAUCGGAAUCUACUUUUUCGUGGGGGAUAACGUAGGGAAACUUACGCUAAUACCGCAUACGACCUACGGGUGAAAGCAGGGGAUCUUCGGACCUUGCGCGAUUGAAUGAGCCGAUGUCGGAUUAGCUAGUUGGCGGGGUAAAGGCCCACCAAGGCGACGAUCCGUAGCUGGUCUGAGAGGAUGAUCAGCCACACUGGAACUGAGACACGGUCCAGACUCCUACGGGAGGCAGCAGUGGGGAAUAUUGGACAAUGGGCGCAAGCCUGAUCCAGCCAUACCGCGUGGGUGAAGAAGGCCUUCGGGUUGUAAAGCCCUUUUGUUGGGAAAGAAAAGCAGCAGGUUAAUACCCCGCUGUUCUGACGGUACCCAAAGAAUAAGCACCGGCUAACUUCGUG
RNAcentral lists this ribosomal RNA (492 nucleotides) under uncultured bacterium. Its description in RNAcentral is "partial 16S ribosomal RNA". It matches the Rfam family "Bacterial small subunit ribosomal RNA", at positions 29 to 507 of the family's 1533-position model. The record is from RNAcentral.